UGGAUAUGUAACUUCAAUUGCCACAACUGAUGAAGUUGAAGGAGAAGAUUAUGAUGGAGCAGUUGCCAUUGGAGGCAGGCAAACUUUCACAGCACCAGCUGCGAUUCUCAAUGAUGUGGCAGGAGAAGACUUUCACCCAUUUGCUGAACAUCGGAUAUCAACUAUUGCUGAUAGAGAAGAUGAAUACAGAGCAAUGCGUUGGAAGUUGAUUAUUUCCCCAGAACGUGUUGAUUCAUUUGCUGAAGAGUGCCAUAGCAACCAGUUAAGUUAAAAGCUCUUGGAGGUGGAUUAUUCACUUGUGGGCCAGGAGCUGAUCUGCUCAAAUUCCCC
Daphnia magna is the source of this 330-nucleotide long non-coding RNA. RefSeq lists it as uncharacterized. Lineage: Eukaryota; Metazoa; Arthropoda; Branchiopoda; Diplostraca; Daphniidae. The transcript has 3 exons. The record is from RefSeq and is a predicted model, not a curated record.